AGACCAUGAUGAGGACACUCUUGGAGAAGGUCUUUGAAAUGUUCCAUGCAUCGAGAAAAUGAUUCAUUGGGUCUUUGACAAAACUGGGGAAUGUCAUUCCUAAGCUU
RNAcentral lists this small nucleolar RNA (107 nucleotides) under Cephalotus follicularis. RNAcentral's name for it is "Plant small nucleolar RNA R71". It matches the Rfam family "Plant small nucleolar RNA R71". Rfam says of the family: R71 is a member of the C/D box family of snoRNAs containing the C (UGAUGA) and D (CUGA) box motifs. Lineage: Eukaryota; Viridiplantae; Streptophyta; Magnoliopsida; Oxalidales; Cephalotaceae. The record is from Rfam by way of RNAcentral.